This 520-nucleotide ribosomal RNA is filed under the name uncultured bacterium. RNAcentral describes it as "partial 16S ribosomal RNA". It matches the Rfam family "Bacterial small subunit ribosomal RNA", at positions 29 to 523 of the family's 1533-position model. The record is from RNAcentral.
AACGAACGCUGGCGGCGUGGAUAAGACAUGCAAGUUGAACGGUUGACAUAGGGUAGCAAUAUUCUGUGUCAGCAGUGGCGUAAGGGUGCUUAACACGUGGGUAAUCUGCCGCGAAGCGUGGGAUAACUCGCUGAAAGGCGAGCUAAUACCGCAUGUGAUUUUCUUGAGGCAUCUCAGGGAAUUCAAACAUGGGUCGCAAGGCCUGUGGUUUCGCGAUGAGCCCGCGGCCUAUCAGCUAGUUGGCGGGGUAAAGGCCCACCAAGGCUAAGACGGGUAGCUGGUCUGAGAGGACGACCAGCCACACUGGAACUGAGACACGGUCCAGACACCUACGGGUGGCAGCAGUCGAGAAUUUUUCACAAUGGGGGAAACCCUGAUGGAGCGACGCCGCGUGGGGGAUGAAGGGCUUCGGUUCGUAAACCCCUGUCAUUGGCGAACAAGUGUUGCGUCCUAAUACGGCGCAACUUGAUAGUAGCCGAAGAGGAAGGGACGGCUAACUCUGUGCCAGCAGCCGCCGUAA